AAAAGUCAGAAAGUCCCCUUCAUAAGUUUACGGGCGAGGACUCACCAGGGUAUCUAAUCCUGUUUGAUCCCCACGCUUUCGUGCCUCAGCGUCAAUUUAACCAUAGUAAGCUGCCUUCGCAAUCGGUGUUCUGUGACAUAUCUAUGCAUUUCACCGCUACUUGUCACAUUCCGCCUACCUCUAGUUCAUUCAAGCUCUUCAGUAUCAAGGGCACUGCGAUGGUUGAGCCACCGUCUUUCACCCCUGACUUAAAAAGCCGCCUACGCACCCUUUAAACCCAAUAAAUCCGGAUAACGCUUGGAUCCUCCGUAUUACCGCGGCUGCUGGCACGGAGUUAGCCGAUCCUUAUUCCUUCGGUACAUUCAGCUAUCUACACGUAGAUAGGUUUAUUCCCGAAUAAAAGCAGUUUACGACCCAGAGGGCUGUCUUCCUGCACGCGGCAUGGCUGGUUCAGAGUUGCCUCCAUUGACCAAUAUUCCUUACUGCUGCCUCCCGUAGGAGUCUGGUCCGUGUCUCAGUACCAGUGUGGGGGGUCAUCCUCUCAGAUCCCCUAGACAUCGUGGUCUUGGUGGGCCGUUACCCCGCCAACUAACUAAUGUCACGCAUGCCCAUCUUAAUCCUAUAAAUAUUUGAUCAUUGUACAAUGCUGUACUGUGAUUUUAUGCGGUGUUAAUCCCGAAUUUCUUCGGGCUAUCCCCCUGAUUAAGGUAGGUUGCAUACGCGUUACGCACCCGUGCGCCACUUUCCUCCUCUAGCAAGCUAAAGAGUAUCGUUCGACUUGCAUGUAUUAGGCCUGCCGCUAGCGUUCAUCCUGAGCAGAGGAAUCAAACUCCAAC
This 836-nucleotide ribosomal RNA is filed under the name Pedobacter cryoconitis. RNAcentral describes it as "partial 16S ribosomal RNA". The record is from RNAcentral. Lineage: Bacteria; Pseudomonadati; Bacteroidota; Sphingobacteriia; Sphingobacteriales; Sphingobacteriaceae.